RNAcentral lists this transfer RNA (66 nucleotides) under Gyrodactylus derjavinoides. RNAcentral describes it as "tRNA-Phe". It matches the Rfam family "tRNA". Rfam says of the family: Transfer RNA (tRNA) molecules are approximately 80 nucleotides in length. Their secondary structure includes four short double-helical elements and three loops (D, anti-codon, and T loops). Lineage: Eukaryota; Metazoa; Platyhelminthes; Monogenea; Gyrodactylidea; Gyrodactylidae. The record is from RNAcentral.
UUCCCCUUAGCUUAGGUUUAAAGCGUUAAUUUGAAGAGUUAAAGUUAGUUUAAUUACUAGGGGAAA